UGUACACUAUGCUUUCAGGGUUGAGGACCAGACGUCAUACAGUAUCUGUCUGUGAUGGUCUGUCUCUCUGCCUUGUCCUGUCUACCUUUCUGCCUGUAUCUUGGCUUUUUUUUCUGCCCACCCUCGUCAGGUCUGUCCUCCACUCCUCCAGCCUUCAUGAAGAAAGGCCGGGCCAGGAAGGAGACGUUGGCAAGAGCGCCCACUGCUGACAGCACCGACUCAGAGGAAGAGUGGACACCCAGUUUGGAGAGGAGACCUCCAGCCUCUCGUACCUUCAGAGUUCCCGUCAAAACCCUUGGUGAGUCCAGAGUCGGCUCCGUGAGGCGCACCCAACCCCCAGCUCCUACCCUGCCAUCUCAGCCAAUCAGCAACAACACUUCACAGCCAAUCAGCGACGACAACAGGACUUCACAGCCAAGCGGCGAGAGCAGUCAGAUUUCUCAGCCAAUCGGAAAUAGAAACAGCAGUUUUCGACCAAUCAGCAGCAAUGCUCAGUGUCCUCAGGCCUUAGAGGUGGAUCCCACAGAACAGGCUAUAGAGACAGAGGAGAACAAACAGGUUUUGUAAAACACACA
Molecule: long non-coding RNA, 575 nt
Organism: Clupea harengus (Atlantic herring)
Lineage: Eukaryota; Metazoa; Chordata; Actinopteri; Clupeiformes; Clupeidae
Source: Ensembl